GCCGGGAGUGGUGGCACAAUCCUGUAGUCCCAGCUACUCGGGAGGCUGAGACAGGAGGCUAGCUUGAGUCCAGGUGUUCUGGGCUGUAGUGAGCUAUACAAAUCAGGUGUCCACACCAGGUUGCCUAAGAAGGGGUGAACUGGCCCAGGUCAGAAAUGGAGCAUGUAAAAAUUCCCGUGCUAACCAAAAUGACCCUUAUAAGAAGAGAAAAGGAUGCCAAUAAGUGUAGCCAUCAAUCUCAU
Molecule: small RNA, 242 nt
Filed under: Mesocricetus auratus (golden hamster)
Lineage: Eukaryota; Metazoa; Chordata; Mammalia; Rodentia; Cricetidae
Description: Metazoan signal recognition particle RNA (ENSMAUG00000006002.1)
Source: RNAcentral